GCUCUGGACUGAUCAACAGGAAGUGCUCUGGAUCUAUCAACAGGAAGUGCUCUGGAUUGAUCAACAGGAAGUUGAGGGUUCUUUCUUUAAUCUGCCCGCAGCAACAGCAAUGAGCUGCACCUGAAGGGAAGUCAGCCAAUCAGUGACUCUUUUGAUUUAUUCACCAGAUUGAAGGAGUGAAAACUACAAGACACAAGAACAUUUAGUUUAGUCAUUACUAAAGUUCUAGAUCAAUUCAAACAAUAAACUAAGACAAGUUGUUGCUAAUGCUAAGCUACAUGCUAAUGCUAAGCUACAUGCUAAGCCACAUGCUAUGCUACAUCAGACGCAAUACAUAACAAAUUAUAACAAGGCUAAUGCUAAGCUACAUGCUAAGCUAAACUUACAUUGCUGUUGCUGCCUGCUGUGUGCAGCCUUGAAGAUUAAAGAAAGAACUCUCAA
This is a non-coding RNA of Labrus bergylta (ballan wrasse), 441 nucleotides long. NCBI's taxonomy places the organism in Eukaryota, Metazoa, Chordata, Actinopteri, Labriformes, Labridae. The record is from RefSeq and is a predicted model, not a curated record.